RNAcentral lists this ribosomal RNA (837 nucleotides) under uncultured bacterium. RNAcentral describes it as "bacterial SSU rRNA". It matches the Rfam family "Bacterial small subunit ribosomal RNA", at positions 645 to 1482 of the family's 1533-position model. The record is from RNAcentral.
AGUGCAGAAGAGGAAAGUGGAAUUCCAUGUGUAGCGGUGAAAUGCGUAGAUAUAUGGAGGAACACCAGUGGCGAAGGCGACUUUCUGGUCUGUAACUGACGCUGAGGCUCGAAAGCAUGGGGAGCAAACAGGAUUAGAUACCCUGGUAGUCCAUGCCGUAAACGAUGAGUGCUAAGUGUUGGAGGGUUUCCGCCCUUCAGUGCUGCAGCUAACGCAUUAAGCACUCCGCCUGGGGAGUACGACCGCAAGGUUGAAACUCAAAGGAAUUGACGGGGGCCCGCACAAGCGGUGGAGCAUGUGGUUUAAUUCGAAGCAACGCGAAGAACCUUACCAGGUCUUGACAUCCUUUGACCACUCUAGAGAUAGAGCUUUCCCUUCGGGGACAAAGUGACAGGUGGUGCAUGGUUGUCGUCAGCUCGUGUCGUGAGAUGUUGGGUUAAGUCCCGCAACGAGCGCAACCCUUAUUAUUAGUUGCCAGCAUUCAGUUGGGCACUCUAGUGAGACUGCCGGUGAUAAACCGGAGGAAGGUGGGGAUGACGUCAAAUCAUCAUGCCCCUUAUGACCUGGGCUACACACGUGCUACAAUGGAUGGUACAACGAGUCGCAAAACCGCGAGGUUAAGCUAAUCUCUUAAAGCCAUUCUCAGUUCGGAUUGUAGGCUGCAAUUCGCCUACAUGAAGCCGGAAUCGCUAGUAAUCGCGGAUCAGAACGCCGCGGUGAAUACGUUCCCGGGCCUUGUACACGCCGCCCGUCACACCACGAGAGUUUGUAACACCCAAAGUCGGUGAGGUAACCUUCGGGAGCCAGCCGCCUAAGGUGGGACAGAUAAUUGGGGUG